Molecule: non-coding RNA, 190 nt
Filed under: Bos taurus (domestic cattle)
Lineage: Eukaryota; Metazoa; Chordata; Mammalia; Artiodactyla; Bovidae
Also listed under: 3 other names
Description: Eukaryotic large subunit ribosomal RNA
Rfam family: Eukaryotic large subunit ribosomal RNA
Source: Rfam by way of RNAcentral
AGAGUCUUAAGAAGAGAAGUUGCAAAGGCCCACAGUGGGUAUUGACAUGAUAUGAUUUCUUCUCUGAAUGUCAAAGUGAAGAAAUUCAAUGAAACGCAGAUAAAUGGUGGGAGUCACUAAGACUCUCUUAGGGAAGCCACAUGCCUCAUCAUCUAAUUAGUGAUGUGCAUGUAUGGAUGAAUGAGAUCCU